This 406-nucleotide unclassified non-coding RNA is filed under the name soil metagenome. Its description in RNAcentral is "partial contains 5.8S ribosomal RNA, internal transcribed spacer 2, and large subunit ribosomal RNA". The stretch from base 1 to 121 matches the Rfam family "5.8S ribosomal RNA", at positions 35 to 154 of the family's 154-position model. The record is from RNAcentral.
GAUGAAGAACGUAGCGAAAUGCGAUAAGUAAUGUGAAUUGCAGAAUUCAGUGAAUCAUCGAAUCUUUGAACGCACCUUGCGCCCUUUGGCCAUUCCGAAGGGCAUGCCUGUUUGAGUAUCAUGAACACCUCAACUCUUCAUGGUUUUCCGUGAUGAGCUUGGACUUUGGGGGUCUUGCAGGCCUAUGGUCAGCUCCUCUAAAAUAAAUCAGCUUGCCAGUGUUUGGUGGGUAUCACAGGUGUGAUAACUAUCUACGCUUGUGGUUUUCCACCAGGUAACCUUCAGCAGUGGAGGUUCGCUGGAGCUCACAGAUGUGUCUCUCCUCAGUGAGGACAGCUCUUUGAAUGUUUGAUCUCAAAUCAGGUAGGACUACCCGCUGAACUUAAGCAUAUCAAUAAGCGGAGGA